CUCCCCGGCCGGGAAUUGAACCCGGGUCUCGCAUUGUACGACGCGGAUUACUCACCACUAUACUACCGAGGA
Ostertagia ostertagi is the source of this 72-nucleotide non-coding RNA. NCBI's taxonomy places the organism in Eukaryota, Metazoa, Nematoda, Chromadorea, Rhabditida, Trichostrongylidae. The record is from the annotation of a GenBank genome assembly.